RNAcentral lists this ribosomal RNA (459 nucleotides) under uncultured bacterium. RNAcentral describes it as "partial 16S ribosomal RNA". It matches the Rfam family "Bacterial small subunit ribosomal RNA", at positions 28 to 523 of the family's 1533-position model. The record is from RNAcentral.
GAUGAACGCUGGCGGCGUGCCUAAUACAUGCAAGUCGAACGGAAAGGCCUCUUCGGAGGUACUCGAGUGGCGGACGGCUGAGUAACGCGUAGGAACGUACCCCAAACUGAGGGAUAACUGCUCGAAAGAGUAGCUAAUACCGCAUGUGCUCUACGGAGUAAAGCUUCGGCGGUUUGGGAACGGCCUGCGUAUGAUUAGCUAGUUGGUGAGGUAAUGGCUCACCAAGGCGACGAUCAUUAGCUGGUCUGAGAGGAUGAUCAGCCAGACUGGGACUGAGACACGGCCCAGACUCCUACGGGAGGCAGCAGUAGGGAAUUUUCCACAAUGGGGGCAACCCUGAUGGAGCAACGCCGCGUGCAGGAUGAAGGCUUUCGGGUCGUAAACUGCUUUUAUAUGUGACGAUUUUGACGGUAGCAUAUGAAUAAGGAUCGGCUAACUCCGUGCCAGCCGCCGCCGUAA